Long non-coding RNA from Pteropus alecto (black flying fox), 1578 nucleotides. RefSeq lists it as uncharacterized. The transcript is spliced from 3 exons. The record is from RefSeq and is a predicted model, not a curated record. Lineage: Eukaryota; Metazoa; Chordata; Mammalia; Chiroptera; Pteropodidae.
UUUACUCACCUUAUGCUAUUGAGAGGUAGAAUCCUCUUACAUGGCUUAAGCCUUCGCCGUUCCGGUGAAGAUACAACACACUUGUCCUGUGUAGAGAAAUAGCUUCGCUUUGGUAGACCUCAGUCUUGGUAGAAUUCUCUGAUCUUCCCAGGAGCAUAAUAAGGAAUCCUGUGAGGAGCCAUGACCAGUUUCUCAUUUGCGUACCUCGUGGGAGGCUGCGACUGGGUAGAGUUCCUCUCCUGCCCUUUGUCUAAUCUUUCCUCAUGCUUCAUUUCUUGUCACCAGGCACUUGAUGUCUUGCUUCCACAUCUUACAACCAUGCUAUCCAAUUCUCUAGACACCAGCCCACCCAUCCUUCCCUCCCACCCCAAAACAACCUCUUUAUGUUUCCGGCUACAGUCUCCUCUCCUCACCUCUUCUCCCAGGCCUUCUCUUUUUCCUUCUUAGGCAGAAAACACUGGCGCUGUCUCUCAGCCUCCAAUCUGCAUUCAGAUGACGUGCAUCAGUAGCUUGGCAAAAUCAGGAAGCUUCCUUACACUCCCUUCUUAAAUGGCAGUAGUAAUUUUAAGUAACACAUUUCACUAUCAGAAAUAACUUUAGUGUUUUCCUAUCUGAAGGUGCCAGAAUAUUGGACUACAGUUUAGGAGAAAACCCCGGCUCAGUGUUGGUGUUGGUGGGCAUUUUGCCAACACUGUUCCCGGGAUGUGUUCUUCACUCUCACUUGCGAUCCACAAUGUCCUGGCAAAUAGAAACUACUGACCCAACAGAAAAGGCAGGACCACUGCCGGAGGAACCAUCGCGCCCCCUCGUGGCUACCUCGGAGAUGACACCCACAGGUCGAGGUCAGCCUCAGAAGCAGCUGAGAGAUCCAGGCGGGUCUGGGAAGGGCGCGCGGAUGCGGAAGCGGUGGCACACUAGGCCUAGAAGUUUAUUUCAGAAAAGUAUGUUCUUGUGGAAAUCAAUUUGAUUGGAAGUUGAGCAAUUCCUUCAUUUUUAAAAUGUCUUCUUCCUGUUAAAUUCAGUCACCUUCAAGGAAGCCGACGAGGCGCCAGACUUGGCUUCCACUCACUUGCAAGCCACUUCAUCCCUCCCAAAGAACCGGGAAAGGAAACUUCGCAAGAACCAACGCCCGACCAGCAGUUUCGCGGUUUCUGAGAUUGCGUUCUAGGGCGGAGCAGUAACGGGUGGGAGCUCUCAGAGUGAGGAUCUGCGGCCGCCCAAACCCAGCGACUGGCUCCUCUUCCCUCCACUCCCUACUUCCUCCCGUCCUGUCAUUCUCUGCUCUUCCCCACCUCUCCCUUCUCCGCUAUUUUCUCCCGCCGCACACCUGUUUUCACGUCCGCCAAGGGGGACCCCAAAAGACAGCUGUGGUUUUCAGUCCUUUGUAACCGCCGAAAGCUUCAUAAUGUCAAAAUCAAAGAGACGCCCCUUAGCACCUGGAGGCGAACUUAGUCACUAGCUGUGAGGUCCUUCAGAAUUCACGACCAAGAUUUUUGCCGAGCGGAGGAGAAAGGACGUGCGUCCACCUGGUCCGGUCGUCCUCCCGGUGGAGCGGAGGGGCGCCGCGGGUCCGGGACC